RNAcentral lists this ribosomal RNA (439 nucleotides) under uncultured bacterium. RNAcentral describes it as "partial 16S ribosomal RNA". It matches the Rfam family "Bacterial small subunit ribosomal RNA", at positions 338 to 795 of the family's 1533-position model. The record is from RNAcentral.
CCUACGGGUGGCAGCAGUGGGGGAUAUUGCACAAUGGAGGCAACUCUGAUGCAGCGAUGCCGCGUGAGGGAAGACGGUCUUCGGAUUGUAAACCUCUGUCUGUGGGGAAGAAAAUGACGGUACCCAAAGCGGAAGCUCCGGAUAACUCCGUGCCAGCAGCCGCGGUAAUACGUAGGGCGAGAGCUUUGUCCGGAAUUACUGGGGGUAAAGGGAGCGUAGACGGGCGAGAAAGUGGAAGGGAAAAUCUACCGGCUAAACUGGGAGCUGAGUGCAAGACUUCUGUUCUAGAGUGUAGUAGAGGCAGGCGGAAUUCCUAGUGUAGCGGUGAAAUGCGUAGAGAUGAGGAGGAACACCAGUGGCGAAGGCGGCCUGCUGGGCUUUAACUGACGCUGAGGCUCGAAAGCGUGGGGAGCAAACAGGAUUAGAUACCCCAGUAGUC